Molecule: long non-coding RNA, 2987 nt
Organism: Mesocricetus auratus (golden hamster)
Lineage: Eukaryota; Metazoa; Chordata; Mammalia; Rodentia; Cricetidae
Exons: 2
Source: RefSeq, a predicted model, not a curated record
GCCAUGGCCUGUAGGUAGACAUCACAGGGUGAUUUUUGUGUCAUCAACACCCUUUUUCCACCUGUAUAUGGAUUUUGUCGAACCCAGGUAUUAAGGUUUGUGUGGCAAGCUUUUGCUGAUUGAGAUGUAGCGCCAGCCGAAAGAUUUUUUUUUCAUUCAGUUAAAAAUAUCCAUGUUGCAAUCUUGCUCAUGCUUGCGAUCCUAGCAUUAGGAAGGCUGAUAGAGGAGGAUUGCUGUGAAUUCAAAUUCAGCCUGGUUAGGUAGUGAGGUCUAAGCUAGCUCUUGGAUGCAAAAUGAAGCUUUGCUUCAACAAUAAAAACAAGUAAAGAAACAAACCAACAAAACCCUUCUGAAAUAUUUGUUAAGCUCCCAUGAAAUGAUUCCUCUACCUUUGGGAAAGCAGGCAAUGUGUCUUAGAGAGAAAUGUUUUCCUUGUGGCCAGCUUUCAGCCUGCUUCAGGCCUUGUGUGGUCUCUCUAGUUUGCAUCACAGCCUCCCAUACACAGGCUUCUUUCUGUCUCCUUCCUUUUUACAUGAUUUUUUUUAAAUAAAGAAAGCAGUGCUCAGAUGAGCCCAGUAACUUAGUUACUCUCUCGGAAGCAUCAGAACAGGAAGUCCAGGUCCAGUGUUGUUUACUUAUGCAUAUGUAGAAAAUAGAAAAGUUAUGCUGCUGGGAACCAUGCUGAGUGCACUUGCAAUGAUGUCAAAGAAACGCCCUCAGUGGGGAAGGAUAAGCUAUCCACCUACCUGCUCAUUCCACAACCUCUAGAGCUGCCUCUCACUCCACAGCGUGCAGGAAAAUCACCUGAUCAUGCUACUAAACUUCAGGUUCAGCUCCUGCGUGUUCCUGUGUGUGUGUGUGUGUGUGUGUGUGUGUGUGUGUGUGUGUGUGUGCUCUACACAAGUGUGUUGGAAUUGAACUGAAGGCCUUGGACAUGCCAGUACUCUGCCACUGAAUUAUAUCCCUAGCUCUCAACAUGUUAUUGAAGUUUCUCUGUCACGUAUUUUCCACCAGCAGGAACAAGGGCUGACUUCUAGUUACUAUUGACAUGACAAGGAGACAAACAGUUGGUAUCUACAACGCAUUUCCUAAAUGAAACUUCACACCCUGACGAUGGAGAGAUUGCUCCUUUUUCUCUUUUGCCAAGUGGACACAUUUUCCCUUGUUACCCAUAGGGCUCCAAGAAAACAGCACAUCCUAAUUGGGAAACAUAGCCCGUGUAAUUUUUGUUUCGAUCUCCUCAGAGUUGAAACGUCUUUAAGGAAAAGCUUAGAUCUUGAGCAUUUUACUUUUGUUGAGUACGAGGUGUCAACGUGCUUAAGAGGACACAAUCUGCAGGUUCUCAGACCCCAGCGCUCUGCACUCCCUUCCUGAGGAGCUGUCACACCUGACUUGCCAUCUGUGGAGAAUCUUCCACAUUAUGAAGAAGCUUGACCCUGCUGUGGCUGCACAGGGACAGAGGACAGACUCUGGUUGUCUGCUGUUGCAUGGGUGCUGAGCACCUGUGUGGGCACAGCACAUAGGAAGUGAUUGAUACUGGAUCUCUGCUAUUGAGUGCCCUCUGGAGAUGAUGAUGCUUCUUACUGCCCAAGUUACUGAAAGGGCGGGAAUUAUCUUUAUCUGAAGCAUUACACUCUUCCUGUUCAAAGGACACAUUAGUUAAAGAAAUGAAAGCUUCUGUUUUAGAAAAUGACUUCUGUAGCUGUCUGAUAUGGGUACUAUUCUCAGGUGUUUUCUCCCUGUCAUUAUAAAGAGGAAUAGCAUGAUUUUUGGAAGUUUAUGAAAAUGGCAAACACUUCAUGUUUCCCAAUUAUGUAUUUGUAUUUUUCUAAAAGUGUGAUACCCUUUUUGUAAUGUUAAGCUCCCUUUUCACUUAUCAUAUGAGUGUCAUUGGUGUUGGCUUGCUAUUUUAAAACAUUCUAAGGGUGAACUUUCCCUGAUUUAACAUGAAAAGUGACCUAGAAGAACUAAAAGGUGAACAACAAAUCUUGUUUGUGAUUUAGGAAUGGGCUGGAGACAGAUGAAGCAUGGAAGGUGGCAUGAAUGGAAAUCUCCUUGUGUUAUCUGGAUAUCAGCAUCAGUAGUGAGAUUUUCUACCAUAUGCUCCUUAAAAAGUUGUACUCUUGGCAAAUGAGACUUUGCCUCCAAAAAAUAGUUAUGAUGUCAUAUUAAAAUUCUUUUAAAAUUGAUACUCUUAGCCUUAUGCUAUGAAUGGCAUUCAAUUUUUUUAGGCUCUUCCUAAAUGGUGGUGAAAAGUCCUCUGGUUUUUUGAGCUCUCUUAAACAUAAAUUAUCAUCAUGGAAAAACUUAAUCAAGGCAAAACUAUUAUUUUUAGAAUACAUUGUUUCAGUUAUCAUAGGCUUGAGUCCCUGUGAACCUCAUGGAAUGCUUUUGUGGAGUAUAUGGUAGAUUCUGGAUUACUUCCAUUCCAUCUUCUAGCUUAACUCAAGGAAUAAUCACAAGGUGGACACUGGGACAGUAGAGUUGACUGCCCCAGAUUAUCAAACUAUAGUGCGGAAUGAAACCUUCUAUCUUUCUUUUGUGACCAUUUUCAUUCUCUUGUAAACCAGUGUGCAUCUGAGAAUGAUGAAGUCUCCGUUAAUUAUAUCGGAACACCGGAGACUUAAAAGUGAGUCUCUCUGGUCCAGAAGAGUCAUCAUAAGCAGGGAGAGAUGAUGAUGUAUGCACACUCUCAUUCCAAACUGUUAUUCGUUGCCACUUCUGAUUAAUGGAGUCUGUACUUAAAUUAUGCCCAUAAAUAAUUUCUCAAUCUUUCCUGGCCACUAUUAAGAUUGACUAUUCGUUCAAGAUGUUGACAAACAGUUUUAUAUGUUUGUUCUCUUCGUUUCUGUCAUCCUCUCCUACAAGGGAAGCUGGGAAGGCAUGCAGGGUGGGAGCGGAGGUAUCAUGGGAACAUGUAGCUUUGGCCUCUAAACCAGCAAGAAUUUAUUUAAUUUUUAAGUAAAUAAACGCCAGUUUCUAAAGAA